RNAcentral lists this long non-coding RNA (347 nucleotides) under Malus domestica (apple). Its description in RNAcentral is "long non-coding RNA (MDOM_LNC015776)". Lineage: Eukaryota; Viridiplantae; Streptophyta; Magnoliopsida; Rosales; Rosaceae. The record is from RNAcentral.
GCUUCAAGUUCAUUAGCUAUGUCAGUAUGAUCUGCAGUACCUUGAACUAAAGCUUCAGUUACCAUUUGCAUCAUCUUCCCACUUUCAACAUAAAAAUCUUUCAGUCCACUGAUAAUUGCCUCGGUUCCAUCAUUUGAACUUCCCACAGCUCUUUUUCCUCUUUCUUUGGCUAUUUUCAGAUGGGGUGCUUUGUUGGCUUUGUUGAUUCAUUGAAGAAACAAAAUUUUCACCUCCAAUAUCACUUUCACCAACAUGAUCAUGACUUUGUUCCUCCAUCAUUUGAGCAGGGGUUUCGGCUACAUUACCCGUAGCCCGAUCUUUUCCAAAUAUAUAUGCAAAUCUAUCAA